GGAAGUUUACAAAGACUUUAUUCAAUUCACAUGCAGACUGAGAGUCUGGAGAAUGAGAAUGUGCAGAUUUAUUGCAACAGAGGUAUCUGCAAUGGAGCACCCCCUGUGUAUUUCUUCUAUUCCAAAUAUGUCAGCAGAAGUAUCAGAGAAAUUUUUAGAAAACUGGCGUACACUCCUCUGCCUGUAAAGCCAAGUGCCUUCAUUAUCUGAUCCAAGUUUUUCAACAUCAUUGACUCUCAGGACAUCUGUGAGUAUUCAGCGCUUUGGAAAAAAAUCACACCAUUUAGGUUUGCAUUCAGUCUUCCCACACAUAUCUGUACCUGCUGUAUUUUGAUGCACUGUGUAUUACCCAACUGUUAAGAAUCAGUGUGUCAGUUCCAGUCACACUGUGAUCCUUGGUGAGCACGGGAGGUACUGUGAAGCUCAUCUCUUACUUGAUUAUAAAUACCUCAUGCUUAAGACUGAUCCCAUAUGUUCUGGUGCUGUCUGACCCACUUGCUUCCAGAAAUGUCUCAAAUGGCUGGCAAUCCUGUUUAUUUCCAUAUUUACUCGUCAUAUUCUCAAGCCAUUUUCCUUUAUAAGUUAGUGUGCCCUGGUGUUCAUUUAGUGAUUUUUGAAUGAGCAAACAUGCUAUGCUCCUUUUGUACCAACCAACCCAUUAUAUUCCAGCACGAAAUUGAAGUGAUCUCCCCUCCUUUUAAUCACUGUUAUUUUGACACAGUCUUUGACACAGUACUGAAGAUUUCAGUUUUGUAGGAAUUGUAAGAGAAUGGAACAACAUAACUUCCACUUAAGGUAGGAAGAGUAGUGGAGACUGAACACUGUUUCCAAAUGGGACCCCAUUUCAAUGUUUUUUUGGCACCUGUAAACUGGGGUUAGACCUGUACUAGCAUAUAGCAUUAGACUACUGUACUUGCAUAUACUUUAACUUUAUUAAAAUCAUGUGCAUUUAACGAAUCUCUAUAAAACCAAACACUGUCAGGUAACAAUUGUACAAAUAUUUGUUAAAUAGAAUUAAUAUUAAUAGAAGUUUAUAUACAUGUUUUGGAAGCAACUCUACUGAAAGUCUCAAAAAUAUGUAGAAAGAAACUCUUUCUUGAUAGCAGCUUACAGAGUUUUAGCAUAUGCCUAUGGAAACAUGAUACUUGCACAUGCAUUAUAUUCUGUAGUGGUUCCCUGUAUAGGAUCACAUCAUCUAGUAUGUACCAUUGGGAAAUCCUUACUUGGUCUGUAGAAGACAAGUCAGUUGUUUCAUUAACUUGGAAGAUAAAAAAUGUACACUUUCCAUUUUGUCUUCAACCUCUUCCUGUCCUGUCUCUUUUCCGUUUGUGUUUGGAAUGUCAUAAAAGCUAUUCAGACUGUAGAGGAGAGACUCUGUAUGGAAGGGAGACAGUAUGUGCAUGGUUGUAAACAAUGUGUUUAGAAUCAUGAUAGGCAAAGCACAUACAAGCUUGUUAUUGGACCUGACUACAGGACUCUCUUAAAAUUAAAUGAGCACAUGGUCUUCACAAAAAUAGAAUCUGUAUUUCAAAGGAAAUUCCAAUGCUGCAAGGAUGUUUCCCUGAUUUGCAUAAAUUAUGAAUUUUGAAGGGAUAAAAUUUAGAAAAAAAUACAAAACAAAUUAAUUCUGAAAUGACAAAAGGUCUGUAUUAAAACCAGUUGUUUAACUACUAAACCUUAAUAAUUUAUAUUUCUGAGGUAACAUCUAUUUUCAACAUAUCCACUUUUGUCCAAAAAAGAAAAUUCAGAAGAGACCCAAAUGAGCAAAUCAAAACGAAAUACCACAUUGUGACAUCAAAUCACUUCAAAGUUCUUUCUAUAGAAAGAACUGAAUCAAAAUCAAAACCUUCUAAAACAGACAAGACAGCAUUCUACUAGUGAAAUACUAUUGAACUGCUUCUGAUUAGCAGUGGUAUGCAGUUUCACUGCAGUUACAAGAACAGCAUGAAAGGUGAUUUAGCUCAGUUUUGUUCCUGUAUAGCACAAUGUAUCUUCUACCCUUUAAAAAAAAAAAAAAAAAAAGAACAAAACUAGAUUGUCUCUUGUUUAAGAUAUGGGUCCU
This is a long non-coding RNA of Aquila chrysaetos chrysaetos, 2062 nucleotides long. RefSeq lists it as uncharacterized. NCBI's taxonomy places the organism in Eukaryota, Metazoa, Chordata, Aves, Accipitriformes, Accipitridae. The transcript is spliced from 2 exons. The record is from RefSeq and is a predicted model, not a curated record.